AUUGAACGCUGGCGGCAUGCUUUACACAUGCAAGUCGAACGGUAACAGGUUAAGCUGACGAGUGGCGAACGGGUGAGUAAUGCAUCGGAACGUGCCCGAACGUGGGGGAUAACGCAGCGAAAGCGGCGCUAAUACCGCAUACGAUCUGAGGAUGAAAGCAGGGGACCGUAAGGCCUCGCGCGAGCGGAGCGGCCGGUGUCAGAUUAGGUAGUUGGUGGGGUAAAGGCUCACCAAGCCAACGAUCUGUAGCUGGUCUGAGAGGACGACCAGCCACACUGGGACUGAGACACGGCCCAGACUCCUACGGGAGGCAGCAGUGGGGAAUUUUGGACAAUGGGCGAAAGCCUGAUCCAGCAAUGCCGCGUGCAGGAAGAAGGCCUUCGGGUUGUAAACUGCUUUUGUACGGAGCGAAAAGGCUCUCUCUAAUACAGGGGGCUCAUGACGGUACCGUAAGAAUAAGCACCGGCUAACUACGUGCCAGCAGCCGCCGUAA
RNAcentral lists this ribosomal RNA (493 nucleotides) under uncultured bacterium. RNAcentral describes it as "partial 16S ribosomal RNA". It matches the Rfam family "Bacterial small subunit ribosomal RNA", at positions 29 to 523 of the family's 1533-position model. The record is from RNAcentral.